This 253-nucleotide ribosomal RNA is filed under the name uncultured bacterium. RNAcentral's name for it is "partial 16S ribosomal RNA". It matches the Rfam family "Bacterial small subunit ribosomal RNA", at positions 524 to 776 of the family's 1533-position model. The record is from RNAcentral.
UACGUAGGGUGCAAGCGUUAAUCGGAAUUACUGGGCGUAAAGAGCGUGUAGGCGGCCAAACAGGUCCGUUGUGAAAACUGGAGGCUCAACCUCCAGACGUCGACGGAAACCGUAUGGCUAGAGUCCGGAAGAGGAGAGUGGAAUUCCUGGUGUAGCGGUGAAAUGCGCAGAUAUCAGGAAGAACACCUAUUGCGAAGGCAGCUCGCUGGGACGUUACUGACGCUGAGACGCGAAAGCGUGGGGAGCAAACAGG